GUCUCGGUUGUUUUAUUGCCUAAGACUCAGGUGACAUUAAUGUCUCAAUAUCCUGCCGAGGAAACACGUUAAGUAAUUUCUCUAUGUCUUAUGGCAUGGAGUUUUUUUAUACUCCGA
Molecule: regulatory RNA element, 117 nt
Rfam family: Ribosomal protein L10 leader
About the family: This family is a putative r-protein leader autoregulatory structure found in B. subtilis and other low-GC Gram-positive bacteria. It is located in the 5' untranslated regions of mRNAs encoding ribosomal proteins L10 and L12 (rplJ-rplL).
Source: Rfam